ACGGGGUGCAGCAGGCGCGAAAACUCCGCAAUACACGAAAGUGUGACGGGGGAACCCCAAGUGCGCUCACGCAAGUGAGUGCUUUUGUGAAGUGUAAAUAGCUUCACGAAUAAAAGCUGGGUAAGACCGGUGCCAGCCGCCGCGGUAACACCGGCAGCUUGAGUGGUGAUCACUAUUAUUGGGCCUAAAGCGUCCGUAGCCUGUUUGGUAAGUCCUUGGGCAAAUCCUGUCGCUUAACGGCAGGAAUUCUGAGGAUACUGUCAGACUUGAGGUCGAGAGAGGUCGGAGGUACUCCUGGGGUAGCGGUGAAAUGCUAUAAUCCUGGGGGGACCACCAGUGGCGAAAGCGUCCGACCAGAGCGAGCCUGACGGUAAGGGACGAAAGCCAGGGGAGCGAACGGGAUUAGAUACCCCGGUAGUCCUGGCCGUAAACGCUGUGGGCUAGGUGUUGCAUGCUCUACGAGGGCAUGCAGUGCCGAAGAGAAGUUGAUAAGCCUACCGCCUGGAAGUACUAUCGCAAGAU
Molecule: ribosomal RNA, 522 nt
Filed under: uncultured archaeon
Lineage: Archaea
Description: bacterial SSU rRNA
Rfam family: Archaeal small subunit ribosomal RNA
Source: RNAcentral